CCUACGGGAGGCUGCAGUGGGGAAUAUUGGGCAAUGGACGCAAGUCUGACCCAGCAACGCCGCGUGAAGGAAGAAGGCUUUCGGGUUGUAAACUUCUUUUAAGGGGGAAGAGCAGAAGACGGUACCCCUUGAAUAAGCCACGGCUAACUACGUGCCAGCAGCCGCGGUAAUACGUAGGUGGCAAGCGUUGUCCGGAUUUACUGGGUGUAAAGGGAGCGUAGGCGGUUUAGCAAGUCAGAAGUGAAAGCCCGGGGCUCAACUCCGGGACUGCUUUUGAAACUGUUGAACUAGAUUGCAGGAGAGGUAAGUGGAAUUCCUAGUGUAGCGGUGAAAUGCGUAGAUAUUAGGAGGAACACCAGUGGCGAAGGCGGCUUACUGGACUGUAAAUGACGCUGAGGCUCGAAAGCGUGGGGAGCAAACAGGAUUAGAUACCCGGGUAGUC
This 442-nucleotide ribosomal RNA is filed under the name uncultured bacterium. RNAcentral describes it as "partial 16S ribosomal RNA". It matches the Rfam family "Bacterial small subunit ribosomal RNA", at positions 338 to 795 of the family's 1533-position model. The record is from RNAcentral.